This 253-nucleotide ribosomal RNA is filed under the name uncultured bacterium. RNAcentral describes it as "partial 16S ribosomal RNA". It matches the Rfam family "Bacterial small subunit ribosomal RNA", at positions 524 to 776 of the family's 1533-position model. The record is from RNAcentral.
UACAGGGGGUGCAAACGUUGCUCGGAAUUAUUGGGCGUAAAGCGCACGUAGGCGGUUGCUUAAGUCGGAUGUGAAAGCCCUUGGCUCAACCAAGGAAGUGCAUCCGAAACUGAGCAGCUGGAGUACGAAAGAGGGUCGCGGAAUUCCCGGUGUAGAGGUGAAAUUCGUAGAUAUCAAGCGGAACACCGGUGGCGAAGGCGGCCUUCUGGACAGUGACUGACGCUGAGACGCGAAAGCGUGGGGAGCAAACAGG